RNAcentral lists this long non-coding RNA (1671 nucleotides) under Amphimedon queenslandica. Its description in RNAcentral is "uncharacterized LOC109581982, transcript variant X2". Lineage: Eukaryota; Metazoa; Porifera; Demospongiae; Haplosclerida; Niphatidae. The record is from RNAcentral.
ACAUUAUCCCUCAGGUGAAUCUCAGCAGGCGAGUCCACGCACCAUAAUGUUUCAUUGUUCCUUCACUAACAACAUAGACAGCAUUUCCCAUUUUACCAGACAAAUGGCAUACACCCCCAAUUAUAAUUAAAUUAAAAAUUCAACGAUUUUGCAUUAUACACUUCAAUCAUAUACUGGAGCCUUUCUUCAUGACCCGGGAGUAAAAAGUUCAUGCAUUGAUGACCAGGUUGCUCAAUUUAUAUUAUUCUGUGUGCAGAGAAUAAGAGAAGGGAAAAAAGAAUCAAAAAAGGAUGGUGCUUUGAUAUAUGAUGAAGUGAAGGUGAUAUCCCGUUUGAUGUGGAGUUCCCGCAGUCAAACGUUGAAUUGUCUCAAUAUGACAUGUGUUGAAAUGUCUUCUCUAGCUGAUAUGUGCCAAACCUUAGAGUAAGACACAGCUACCCAGACAUGUUACAUAUUACAGUUUCUUUGGGGAGAUCUUACCAGUGCUUUUGAUAUAACUGGGCCCUAUUUUAUGAGUAGCAAGACCAUGGACAGUAAAUUUCUAAUUUCCUGCAUACUGGAAACAAUUAAAUUGUUCCACUUGAAAGGACUUUUGACAUCAGUGCUUGUAUGUAAUGGAGCCUCAGCAAAUCUUACCACAGUUAAGGCAACACAUGGUCACCAUGGUGUAUAUCUCAUUAUGAUAGAAAAGGAAGACCCAUAUUCUAUUGAGCCAUUUAUGAUGAAUCCCUUUGACCUGCCAAAUUUAAUCUUUUGAUUAAUUUGUCCAACUCAUCAAAAAGUGGCACAAAGAACUUCCUUCUUGAUGGGAUCAAUUUUGGUUGGAAUGGUAUCACCAUGAUGUAUGAGAGAGAAUGCAACAGAGUAGAAAAGAUAUAUAUUAACAAGGAUGGUUCCUAAACUUAAGGAAAUACAUGUAAUUUGUGAUUCAUGGACAAAACUAAACGUAACUUCAGCUAAGAUUAUGCAGGUAUAAUUACCAAAAAGCUAUACCACUGUGUCACUGAAAAUCCUGACAAAGCAGUGGUGGAUGGUUCUGGGAAAUCAUUGGAAUACCUUGAAGCGUGUAACAACAUAUUUGAGAAUGGUUUUCUUAGUCACAAAAAAGUUACUGGUAUGAGUUCUGAUGUUAUCUGCUCCAUUAAUAAAGGCUAUCAAUUUUUUACGAAGUGGAUUGAUCAAAUUUUACUUAACAAUCCUGAUUUUGAACAUGGUGGUGCUACUCAAAAAAAGUUUCUUGCAUGGCAAACAUUUGACCUAUUAAGGAUUGAUGUUUAUGGCAUUCGGGCAUUUUGCAAGCACUUCUUGGACAAACAUCCUAGAUAUUAUAUUUCUCCAAUGCAUUUAUCAGGCUCAGCAGUAGAAAGCCUGUUUGGUCAAUUCAAGUACAGUUCUGGAGGAAAGUUAGAUGCUGCUAAUUAUUCAAUUGCUCGUGCUACUUGCAUGGUAAAACAAGUUGUUGCUGAUCAUCAUAGUGGCAAGGUUAUAGAGACAAGGAACUUCAAAUACCCAAUUUGCCACUUCAGAAGGAAGUAUAUAACAAGAAGGAUGCUACUAAAGAAUAAUUAUUAAAAUGAAAUAAAAAUUUAAUAUUGUGAUUUAAUUUUUGUAGGUGAUUGUAAGUUUGUGUGUUGUGUGAGUAACUUGUCACGUAAAUUUUGAUCAGUUGUA